AGAACGAACGCUGGCGGCAGGCUUAACACAUGCAAGUCGAGCGAGGACUUCGGUCCUAGCGGCGAACGGGUGAGUAACGCGUGGGAACGUGCCCCUUUCUCCGGAAUAGCCCAGGGAAACUUGGUUUAAUGCCGGAUACGCCCUUCGGGGGAAAGAUUUAUCGGUGAGGGAUCGGCCCGCGUUGGAUUAGGUAGUUGGUGGGGUAAUGGCCUACCAAGCCGACGAUCCAUAGCUGGUUUGAGAGGAUGAUCAGCCACACUGGGACUGAGACACGGCCCAGACUCCUACGGGAGGCAGCAGUGGGGAAUCUUGGACAAUGGGGGAAACCCUGAUCCAGCCAUGCCGCGUGAACGAUGAAGGCCUUAGGGUGUAAAGUUCUUUCAGCGGGGAAGAUAAUGACGGUACCGCAGAAGAAGCCCAGGCUAACUCCGUGCCAGCAGCCGC
Molecule: ribosomal RNA, 444 nt
Filed under: uncultured bacterium
Lineage: Bacteria
Description: SSU rRNA
Rfam family: Bacterial small subunit ribosomal RNA
Source: RNAcentral